CAGGUGGUGCAUGGUUGUCGUCAGCUCGUGUCGUGAGAUGUUGGGUUAAGUCCCGCAACGAGCGCAACCCUUAUUAUCAGUUGCCAGCAUUCAGUUGGGCACUCUGGUGAGACUGCCGGUGACAAACCGGAGGAAGGUGGGGAUGACGUCAAAUCAUCAUCCCCCUUAUGACCUGGGCUCCCCACGUGCUACAAUGGACGGUACAACGAGUGGGGAAGUCGGGAGGAUAAGAUAUUCUCUUAAAGCCGUUCUCAGUUCGGAUUGUAGGCUGCA
RNAcentral lists this ribosomal RNA (273 nucleotides) under Levilactobacillus brevis. Its description in RNAcentral is "Lactobacillus brevis partial 16S ribosomal RNA". It matches the Rfam family "Bacterial small subunit ribosomal RNA", at positions 1035 to 1309 of the family's 1533-position model. The record is from RNAcentral. Lineage: Bacteria; Bacillati; Bacillota; Bacilli; Lactobacillales; Lactobacillaceae.